GCCGCGGUAGCUCAGUUGGUAGAGCAUCGGACCCUUUAUUCGAAGGUCGCAGGUUCGGUCCCUGCUCGCGGCA
This 73-nucleotide transfer RNA is filed under the name Rhipicephalus sanguineus (brown dog tick). RNAcentral's name for it is "transfer RNA lysine (anticodon CUU)". It matches the Rfam family "tRNA". From Rfam's summary of the family: Transfer RNA (tRNA) molecules are approximately 80 nucleotides in length. Their secondary structure includes four short double-helical elements and three loops (D, anti-codon, and T loops). The record is from Rfam by way of RNAcentral. Lineage: Eukaryota; Metazoa; Arthropoda; Arachnida; Ixodida; Ixodidae.